Molecule: ribosomal RNA, 163 nt
Filed under: uncultured Pseudomonas sp.
Lineage: Bacteria; Pseudomonadati; Pseudomonadota; Gammaproteobacteria; Pseudomonadales; Pseudomonadaceae
Description: partial 16S ribosomal RNA
Rfam family: Bacterial small subunit ribosomal RNA
Source: RNAcentral
UNGNANNNGGCNAAGCUGAUCAGCCAUGCCGCGUGUGUGAAGAAGGUCUUCGGAUUGUAAAGCACUUUAAGUUGGGAGGAAGGGCAGUAAGUUAAUACCUUGGCUGUUUUGACGUUACCAACAGAAUAAGCACCGGCUAACUUCGUGCCAGCAGCCGCGGUAA